UACGGAGGGUGCAAGCGUUGUCCGGAAUCAUUGGGCGUAAAGAGUUCGUAGGUGGCAUGUUAAGUCUGGUGUUAAAGGCCGAAGCUCAACUUCGGUAAGGCACUGGAUACUGGCAAGCUUGAAUGUGGUAGAGGUAAAGGGAAUUCCUGGUGUAGCGGUGAAAUGCGUAGAUAUCAGGAGGAACAUCGGUGGCGUAAGCGCUUUACUGGGCCAUAAUUGACACUGAGGAACGAAAGCCGGGGUAGCAAAUGGG
This 253-nucleotide ribosomal RNA is filed under the name uncultured bacterium. Its description in RNAcentral is "partial 16S ribosomal RNA". It matches the Rfam family "Bacterial small subunit ribosomal RNA", at positions 524 to 776 of the family's 1533-position model. The record is from RNAcentral.